ACGCUGGCGGCGUGCCUAAUACAUGCAAGUAGAACGCUGAAGCUUGGUGCUUGCACCGAGCGGAUGAGUUGCGAACGGGUGAGUAACGCGUAGGUAACCUGCCUCUUAGCGGGGGAUAACUAUUGGAAACGAUAGCUAAUACCGCAUAAAAGUCGAUAUCGCAUGAUAUUGAUUUGAAAGGUGCAAUUGCAUCACUAAGAGAUGGACCUGCGUUGUAUUAGCUAGUUGGUGAGGUAACGGCUCACCAAGGCGACGAUACAUAGCCGACCUGAGAGGGUGAUCGGCCACACUGGGACUGAGACACGGCCCAGACUCCUACGGGAGGCAGCAGUAGGGAAUCUUCGGCAAUGGGGGCAACCCUGACCGAGCAACGCCGCGUGAGUGAAGAAGGUUUUCGGAUCGUAAAGCUCUGUUGUAAGAGAAGAACGAGUGUGAGAGUGGAAAGUUCACACUGUGACGGUAACUUACCAGAAAGGGACGGCUAACUACGUGCCAGCAGCCGUGGUAAUACGUAGGUCCCGAGCGUUAUCCGGAUUUAUUGGGCGUAAAGCGAGCGCAGGCGGUUAGAUAAGUCUGAAGUUAAAGGCUGUGGCUUAACCAUAGUACGCUUUGGAAACUGUUUAACUUGAGUGCAGAAGGGGAGAGUGGAAUUCCAUGUGUAGCGGUGAAAUGCGUAGAUAUAUGGAGGAACACCGGUGGCGAAAGCGGCUCUCUGGUCUGUAACUGACGCUGAGGCUCGAAAGCGUGGGGAGCAAACAGGAUUAGAUACCCUGGUAGUCCACGCCGUAAACGAUGAGUGCUAGGUGUUGGGUCCUUUCCGGGAUUCAGUGCCGCAGCUAACGCAUUAAGCACUCCGCCUGGGGAGUACGACCGCAAGGUUGAAACUCAAAGGAAUUGACGGGGGCCCGCACAAGCGGU
RNAcentral lists this ribosomal RNA (918 nucleotides) under uncultured bacterium. Its description in RNAcentral is "bacterial SSU rRNA". It matches the Rfam family "Bacterial small subunit ribosomal RNA", at positions 33 to 933 of the family's 1533-position model. The record is from RNAcentral.